GGCAGUGGUAGCUCAAUGGUUAAGAUGUUAGUCUACUGAUUGGAAGGUUGUAAGUUCAAAUCCCAGCACUGCCA
Non-coding RNA from Ameiurus melas (black bullhead), 74 nucleotides. NCBI's taxonomy places the organism in Eukaryota, Metazoa, Chordata, Actinopteri, Siluriformes, Ictaluridae. The record is from the annotation of a GenBank genome assembly.